UACGGGGGGGGCAAGCGUUGUUCGGAAUUACUGGGCGUAAAGGGCGCGUAGGCGGUGUAUUAAGUUAGGCGUGAAAGCCCUGGGCUCAACCCGGGAAUUGCGCUUGAUACUGGUAUGCUAGAAUCCAGGAGAGGUUGGUGGAAUUCCCAGUGUAGAGGUGAAAUUCGUAGAGAUUGGGAAGAACACCGGUGGCGAAGGCGGCCAACUGGACUGGUAUUGACGCUGAGGCGCGAAAGCGUGGGGAGCAAACAGG
Molecule: ribosomal RNA, 253 nt
Filed under: uncultured bacterium
Lineage: Bacteria
Description: partial 16S ribosomal RNA
Rfam family: Bacterial small subunit ribosomal RNA
Source: RNAcentral